UAGGGAAUAUUGGUCAAUGGACGCAAGUCUGAACCAGCCAUGCCGCGUGGAGGAUGAAGGUCCUCUGGAUUGUAAACUUCUUUUAUAUGGGACGAAAAAGGGCCUUUCCAGGUCAACUGACGGUACCAUAUGAAUAAGCACCGGCUAACUCCGUG
Molecule: ribosomal RNA, 155 nt
Filed under: uncultured bacterium
Lineage: Bacteria
Description: partial 16S ribosomal RNA
Rfam family: Bacterial small subunit ribosomal RNA
Source: RNAcentral